Long non-coding RNA from Canis lupus familiaris (dog), 935 nucleotides. RefSeq lists it as uncharacterized. The transcript has 6 exons. The record is from RefSeq and is a predicted model, not a curated record. Lineage: Eukaryota; Metazoa; Chordata; Mammalia; Carnivora; Canidae.
CCGGUGGGCUGCGUGAGGACGCGACGCGCGGCGGGAGGAGGAGCGCGGGAGUCGUGUGUCUCUGGCGACUCCGGGGCGCCGGCAUCCGAGGCCAUCCGAGGCCGUCGGGGUUCCAGGCGGUGCCCCGCCGCACCGGCUGAGGCCCGCCCCACGCACGCUAAAAAUGAAGCUCAGGAGGAGUGGGGCCGCCCUCGGCAAAUACCGCGUAGAAGGAGCGAGGGGCAAGGCUGGCCCCGCAGAGCCAGAGACACAGAGAGAGGCGGAGACACAGAGUGAGAAGCAGGCACCAUGCAGGGAGACCGACUCAGGACUCAAUCCCAGAACUCCAGGAUCACAUCCUGGCUGAAGGCAGCGCUAAACCGCUGAGCCGCCAGUGCUGCCCAUUGGCCCAUCUUUCUGAGGACGUUCGUGUGGCAUGCAGCCGCAGGAUGGAGGAGGCUCUGCUCUGGGUCCCUGCCCAGCACAGGAUGUACAGUCUGCCCUCACCUGAGCCAGGUGCCAGAGCCAGAAGAACGCCGACAGGACAGGUGGCCUGGUCAUCACUGCGUGGCUGUGUCUGCGAUCUGCCGCGGUACACGUGCUGGAGAGGCCUGUCUUCACUUCUGUUCAUUCCCAUGAGCCCACCCCACCCCCACCAGAGAAGAAGUUAAGAACCACCAACUUGGUCUGACCUUCGUCUCCUAAGUCAGCCAGUCCAGGUGCCUUGAUCUCCUGCCAGAGGUCAGCGCCGGGGGUGUGGCCUGCCCAUCAUACACUGCAGGGGUGCAGCUGGAUCUGAGCGGCCUUUGUGCCCCACCCCCAGCAGGUUUGGAUGCCAUGCUGUCCACUCCCAAUAUGGGUCCCUGCUCUACCUCAGGGCCCAGGCUUCUCUGACCUCUCCUGUGUGGGAAAUGAGGGGUGGUUAAUAAACAGUCUUUUUAGUUUGGGUGCAGCCA